This 762-nucleotide ribosomal RNA is filed under the name uncultured Streptococcus sp. RNAcentral describes it as "bacterial SSU rRNA". It matches the Rfam family "Bacterial small subunit ribosomal RNA", at positions 28 to 776 of the family's 1533-position model. The record is from RNAcentral. Lineage: Bacteria; Bacillati; Bacillota; Bacilli; Lactobacillales; Streptococcaceae.
GACGAACGCGGCGGCGUGCUAAUACAUGCAAGUAGAACGCUGAAGAGAGGAGCUUGCUCUUCUGGAUGAGUUGCGAACGGGUGAGUAACGCGUAGGUAACCUGCCUUGUAGCGGGGGAUAACUAUUGGAAACGAUAGCUAAUACCGCAUAACAAUGGAUGACACAUGUCAUUUAUUUGAAAGGGGCAAUUGCUCCACUACAAGAUGGACCUGCGUUGUAUUAGCUAGUAGGUGAGGUAACGGCUCACCUAGGCGACGAUACAUAGCCGACCUGAGAGGGUGAUCGGCCACACUGGGACUGAGACACGGCCCAGACUCCUACGGGAGGCAGCAGUAGGGAAUCUUCGGCAAUGGGGGCAACCCUGACCGAGCAACGCCGCGUGAGUGAAGAAGGUUUUCGGAUCGUAAAGCUCUGUUGUAAGUCAAGAACGAGUGUGAGAGUGGAAAGUUCACACUGUGACGGUAGCUUACCAGAAAGGGACGGCUAACUACGUGCCAGCAGCCGCGGUAAUACGUAGGUCCCGAGCGUUGUCCGGAUUUAUUGGGCGUAAAGCGAGCGCAGGCGGUUUGAUAAGUCUGAAGUUAAAGGCUGUGGCUCAACCAUAGUUCGCUUUGGAAACUGUCAAACUUGAGUGCAGAAGGGGAGAGUGGAAUUCCAUGUGUAGCGGUGAAAUGCGUAGAUAUAUGGAGGAACACCGGUGGCGAAAGCGGCUCUCUGGUCUGUAACUGACGCUGAGAAGCGAAAGCAUGGGGAGCGAACAGG